Molecule: transfer RNA, 75 nt
Filed under: Staphylococcus aureus
Lineage: Bacteria; Bacillati; Bacillota; Bacilli; Caryophanales; Staphylococcaceae
Also listed under: 7 other names
Description: tRNA-Asn
Rfam family: tRNA
About the family: Transfer RNA (tRNA) molecules are approximately 80 nucleotides in length.
Source: RNAcentral
UCCACAGUAGCUCAGUGGUAGAGCUAUCGGCUGUUAACCGAUCGGUCGUAGGUUUGAGUCCUACCUGUGGAGCCA